This 200-nucleotide ribosomal RNA is filed under the name uncultured bacterium. RNAcentral's name for it is "partial 16S ribosomal RNA". It matches the Rfam family "Bacterial small subunit ribosomal RNA", at positions 28 to 223 of the family's 1533-position model. The record is from RNAcentral.
GAUGAACGCUAGCGGCAAGCUUAAUACAUGCAAGUCGAGGGGCAGCAUGACUGUAGCAAUACAGUUGAUGGACCGGCAAACGGGUGCGGAACACGUACAGAACCUUCCUUCGAGCGGGGAAUAGCCCAGAGAAAUUUGGAUUAAUACCCCAUAGCAUUACGGAGUGGCAUCACUCUUUAAUUAAAGAUUUAUCACUUGAA